GCCAGGUGCAAUGGUGUGUGCCUAUAAUCUUAACUACUCUUGAGGCUAAGGCAGGAAGAUCACUUGAGCACAGGAACUGAAGGCCAGCCUGGACAACAUAGCCAAACCCUGCCUUAG
RNAcentral lists this small RNA (117 nucleotides) under Marmota monax (woodchuck). The record is from RNAcentral. Lineage: Eukaryota; Metazoa; Chordata; Mammalia; Rodentia; Sciuridae.